AGCCACCAGCGAGAUUCGAACUCGCGACACCUGGUUUUCGAGACCAGUGCUCUAACCUCUGAGCUAUGAUGGC
This 73-nucleotide transfer RNA is filed under the name Araneus ventricosus. Its description in RNAcentral is "tRNA-Ser". Lineage: Eukaryota; Metazoa; Arthropoda; Arachnida; Araneae; Araneidae. The record is from RNAcentral.